This 482-nucleotide ribosomal RNA is filed under the name uncultured bacterium. RNAcentral's name for it is "partial 16S ribosomal RNA". It matches the Rfam family "Bacterial small subunit ribosomal RNA", at positions 30 to 507 of the family's 1533-position model. The record is from RNAcentral.
AUUGAACGCUGGCGGCAUGCUUUACACAUGCAAGUCGAACGGUAACAGGCCGCAAGGUGCUGACGAGUGGCGCACGGGUGAGUAAUGCAUCGGAACGUGCCCAGUCGUGGGGGAUAACUACUCGAAAGAGUAGCUAAUACCGCAUACGAUCUAUGGAUGAAAGCGGGGGACCGUAAGGCCUCGCGCGAUUGGAGCGGCCGAUGUCAGAUUAGGUAGUUGGUGGGGUAAAGGCUCACCAAGCCAACGAUCUGUAGCUGGUCUGAGAGGACGACCAGCCACACUGGGACUGAGACACGGCCCAGACUCCUACGGGAGGCAGCAGUGGGGAAUUUUGGGCAAUGGGCGCAAGCCUGAUCCAGCAAUGCCGCGUGCAGGAAGAAGGCCUUCGGGUUGUAAACUGCUUUUGUACGGAACGAAACGGCUCUGGUUAAUACCCGGGGCUAAUGACGGUACCGUAAGAAUAAGCACCGGCUAACUACGUG